AUUUUGAAAUAUCACUGUGGUGUCUGGGAAUGGAAGGAGGAGGAGGUUUCCAGUCCAAGAUCUGCUACUUUCUAGCAGUGUGACCCUGGCCUAAAGCUCUAUAGAAGUAUGGUUGCAGCUCCAGCCCAUGUACAAUGAAAUUCAUGUGGCCCAUACCGUGGUAUCGCCAGGGUUGCAAGUUGAUGGUAGCAAAACGUCUUGAAUGAAAAACAAAUCUUGAACGACUAGUUCGUCCUUGCAUUUGUGGGAUGGAAAUUUCCAAGACAACAGUUCCAGAUCUGGUUGGACUCUGUGGUUCUCUUCUAUAAGAAAUGGAGAAACCCAGAGUCCUUUGGAGUGGAAUCAGAAAACCACUGUGAAAACAGGGGUGGAAAGAGAGGAACUGUGCACGAGGGUGCUUGGCUGAUGUCUGAAGUGCACGCGCACCCACUCUCUCAGGCGAGGCACAAAAGCAACCGCCUCCAGGCAAGCUGACUAGACCAUCAUGGUGCAUUGCUGACAUUGGAAUUACAUUAAA
This is a long non-coding RNA of Canis lupus familiaris (dog), 517 nucleotides long. RefSeq lists it as uncharacterized. The record is from RefSeq and is a predicted model, not a curated record. The transcript has 4 exons. Lineage: Eukaryota; Metazoa; Chordata; Mammalia; Carnivora; Canidae.